This 337-nucleotide long non-coding RNA is filed under the name Brassica rapa (field mustard). Its description in RNAcentral is "long non-coding RNA (BRAP_LNC006433)". Lineage: Eukaryota; Viridiplantae; Streptophyta; Magnoliopsida; Brassicales; Brassicaceae. The record is from RNAcentral.
UCUGAUUAAUUUGGCAGCAUACCGUAGUUUCAGGUUCAAUUAAUCGCUGGCAACGUUCACUACUUCAUCACAUGAUAUUUUCCGGCUUAGAGAAAAAAAAAACAAAUAUAACCCGAUAUUGAUUUAUUUUGUUUAUUUAUCCGCAAAUCGUUAUAUAAUCCCUGGUUAAAAAUGGUUUAAACGCCACAAGAAACUCAUGCAACUAAAAUAUUAACAAAAUUACGGAAAAAAAAAAUGAAACAUCCACGGGAUUAGUUUUGAAAUUCACGUCGACGUUAACAAAAUUCGUCGUUCGGCAUAAGUUAACCCAGUUAAUAAAUGGUUCCGUUUGGAUUUU